This 1302-nucleotide long non-coding RNA is filed under the name Marmota monax (woodchuck). Lineage: Eukaryota; Metazoa; Chordata; Mammalia; Rodentia; Sciuridae. The record is from RNAcentral.
GGAAGGGUGGGACCAACUCCUACUAUCGAUGACUGAUCUUCACAACCAACACUUGCUCAUCAAGUACUCAAGGGAUGUAGCUUUACAGAAAGCCCAGUCCUCAGAGAGCUUAGUUACAAUCGUGCACUGCCUAACGAUGUUUCAGUCCACAACAGGCAGGAUGUACAGCGUGGUUCCAUAGGAUCUUAAUGGAACUGAAGAACUUCUGCUCCUGGUGAUGGGCAGGCAGAGUGUCACCGCACAACUCUGUCCUCGUAUUUGCAGAGAUGCUGAUGUGAGCUGGCCCAGUGAGCAGACCUGCUGCGCUGCCAGUCUAUCAAAGUACAAUAUGUACAAUUCCCUUCAGUGCGUGAGGUUUGAUAAUGACCCUGGACCCCUGUGCUGCUGAUUCCUGUUUACCACGCUAGACUUUUUUACCAUUUUAGAGUGAACUUCUAUUUAUAAAAAUACAGUGGACUGUAAAGCCACCUUACAUGUAUAACAGCAGCCACCAAUGUCUUGUUUACCUGCGUCUUGACUGCAUUGGGGACCACAUGAAGCAACUGACCUGCAGCAGCCAGGUUUGUGACAGUACACUCCAUGAUGUUUGUGCAAUGACAAAGCCACACGAUAACACAUUUCUUAGAACAUGUCUCUGUCAAGCAAUGCUGGACUGUAUUUUACCUAAUUUUUAUAAGCACCUGACAGGGAAAUGUGGUGAUCUAUGUCUUAGACAUGAGAAGAUGGAGGGUUAGGGAUUUCCAGUGAUUUGCUUGUGAUGGAGGUCAUGACUAGCACCUCAGGAUUUGAAUCAGACCUACAUCAUGCCACUAAUCAGCGGUUUCCAAAUUGUGCUCUGUGGAACCCCAAGGGUUACACUGAAUUUUUUUCAGAGGCCAUUGUGGAUAGAGGUGGGUGAUUUUGUGGAAUGCCGGGAUCACUUCCCCACCCCAAGAUAGAUUAAGUAAGAGAGAGACCUGAGGGGAACCAAAGGCCAGGGAUGAGGGACAACGAGCUGUUGGGGGUGAACCAAUGACAGAGGUGCAGAAAGAUCGGUAACGCCGGUUACCAGUGACGAGUCCUGCUCCCUCACGUGUCGAAGCUUAACAUUAGAGAAACGCGCAGAGGCAUGAAAUAUGAAGCAAAGUUAUUUAAAAAGGGGGAACAUAGACUUCUCCUGGGAGGGAGAGGGGGCCAUAGCUGGUGUCCUAAGAAGCAGGUCUUAGGCUUCCUUUUUCUGCUCUCUUCCCCUUCUCUGUCUCCUUCCUGGGUUCCUGACUAGCCCAGGAGAUGCUCAGAGGGUGAGAAGCAGGUGGGCUGGAG